This 254-nucleotide ribosomal RNA is filed under the name uncultured bacterium. RNAcentral describes it as "partial 16S ribosomal RNA". It matches the Rfam family "Bacterial small subunit ribosomal RNA", at positions 335 to 585 of the family's 1533-position model. The record is from RNAcentral.
AUUCCUACGGGACGCAGCAGUGAGGAAUAUUGGUCAAUGGGCGCAAGCCUGAACCAGCCAAGUCGCGUGAGGGAUGACGGUCCUAUGGAUUGUAAACCUCUUUUGUCGGGGAGCAAGGCCCGCCACGUGUGGCGGGAAGGAGAGUACCCGAAGAAAAAGCAUCGGCUAACUCCGUGCCAGCAGCCGCGGUAAUACGGAGGGUGCGAGCGUUAUCCGGAUUUAUUGGGGUUAGAGGGUGCGUAGGUGGAAGGUUA